UCUGCGGUGAUGAGCUGUUAACAUGUAAGAAGAUCCCUUUUGUAGGGUUCUUUGAUGAAAUAUUCUUGUUACGCUUGGCUUCUGAGCUUU
Molecule: small nucleolar RNA, 90 nt
Filed under: Salix viminalis (osier)
Lineage: Eukaryota; Viridiplantae; Streptophyta; Magnoliopsida; Malpighiales; Salicaceae
Rfam family: Small nucleolar RNA R24
About the family: snoR24 is a C/D box small nucleolar RNA which acts as a methylation guide for 18S ribosomal RNA in plants.
Source: RNAcentral